CGUGUAGGCGGCCUAUUAUGUCAGGUGUGAAAGCCCUCGGCCUAACCGAGGAAGUGCGCCUGAAACUGCUAGGCUUGAGUACGAGAGAGGAGGACGGAAUUCCCAGUGUAGAGGUGAAAUUCGUAGAUAUUGGGAGGAACACCGGUGGCGAAAGCGGUUCUCUGGAUCGAUACUGACGCUGAGACGCGAAAGCGUGGGAGCAAACA
This 206-nucleotide ribosomal RNA is filed under the name uncultured bacterium. Its description in RNAcentral is "partial 16S ribosomal RNA". It matches the Rfam family "Bacterial small subunit ribosomal RNA", at positions 568 to 774 of the family's 1533-position model. The record is from RNAcentral.